RNAcentral lists this ribosomal RNA (261 nucleotides) under uncultured prokaryote. Its description in RNAcentral is "partial 16S ribosomal RNA". It matches the Rfam family "Bacterial small subunit ribosomal RNA", at positions 524 to 784 of the family's 1533-position model. The record is from RNAcentral.
UACGUAGGGUGCGAGCGUUAAUCGGAAUUACUGGGCGUAAAGCGUGCGCAGGCGGUUUGCUAAGACAGGUGUGAAAUCCCUGGGCUUAACCUGGGAACUGCGCUUGUGACUGGCAGGCUAGAGUACGGUAGAGGGGGGUGGAAUUCCUGGUGUAGCAGUGAAAUGCGUAGAUAUCAGGAGGAACACCGAUGGCGAAGGCAGCCCCCUGGGCCUGUACUGACGCUCAUGCACGAAAGCGCGGGGAGCAAACAGGAUUAGAUA